CCUACGGGAGGCUGCAGUGGGGAAUAUUGGGCAAUGGGCGCAAGCCUGACCCAGCAACGCCGCGUGAAGGAAGAAGGCUUUCGGGUUGUAAACUUCUUUUAAGAGGGAAGAGCAGAAGACGGUACCUCUUGAAUAAGCCACGGCUAACUACGUGCCAGCAGCCGCGGUAAUACGUAGGUGGCAAGCGUUGUCCGGAUUUACUGGGUGUAAAGGGCGUGUAGCCGGGCUGACAAGUCAGAUGUGAAAUUCCGGGGCUCAACCCCGGACCUGCAUUUGAAACUGUUGGUCUUGAGUAUCGGAGAGGCAGGCGGAAUUCAUAGUGUAGCGGUGAAAUGCGUAGAUAUUAGGAGGAACACCAGUGGAGAAGGCGGCCUGCUGGACGACAACUGGCGGUGAGGCGCGAAAGCGUGGUGAGCAAACAGGAUUAGAUACCCGAGUAGUC
This 442-nucleotide ribosomal RNA is filed under the name uncultured bacterium. Its description in RNAcentral is "partial 16S ribosomal RNA". It matches the Rfam family "Bacterial small subunit ribosomal RNA", at positions 338 to 795 of the family's 1533-position model. The record is from RNAcentral.